GUGCUCACUUCAGCAGUACAUACAGUAAAAAAUUGAAAUGAUAUAGAGAUAAACAUGGCCCCUGCACAAAGAUGACACACAAAUUUGUGAAGCAUUCCAUAUUUUU
Lagenorhynchus albirostris (white-beaked dolphin) is the source of this 106-nucleotide small nuclear RNA. NCBI's taxonomy places the organism in Eukaryota, Metazoa, Chordata, Mammalia, Artiodactyla, Delphinidae. The record is from RefSeq and is a predicted model, not a curated record.